Molecule: long non-coding RNA, 583 nt
Filed under: Heterocephalus glaber (naked mole-rat)
Lineage: Eukaryota; Metazoa; Chordata; Mammalia; Rodentia; Bathyergidae
Description: lncRNA (ENSHGLG00100040787.1)
Source: RNAcentral
AUUUUUCUCUAGGUAUUUAUAGCUUUGCGGGUGAACUUUUCCAGAAUUCCAUUUGUCGACUCCUUUCUCACCCUCGGGAUUGGUCGGCUCUUCUCUGGCGGCUGCGACGGGAGGCCCUUUCCACAGCCUGGGAGGCCAGAAGAGCAGUCUGCGGCUGCGCGGAGGACGGGUGCGUGGAGCGGAAGGCGGGAGUGCACGGAGCAGAAAGCCGGGCCGCUGGAGGCUUUGCACCCAGCCCCUGGUCCGCAGGACUCCUCGGAGAACAGCAAAGCAGGGUGGUGCUGUGAAGCCCGGCCGCGGGGUUCAGAGAGCCAAGUGAGACUGAUGCUUUCAUCUUUGGAACAAGACUGUCCAAUAAGGAAGGAGGACAUUAGCCACCUCUCAUUCUGUAUAACUGGCCGUGGAUCCUACUCGAAGAUGAAAUUACAGCCAAAUUAUUUCAUGGAAAUCAAUGCAGGACAGAGCAGGCCAGGCUCUGGAGCCAAUGCCUGACAAAAGUCUGGCCCUUGGAGCAUCAGUCAGCUCCCUUCUAAAGGGGAAGGAAGUUGUAAGAGGAACAGGAACUUCACUGCCCACUGCCAAC